Molecule: ribosomal RNA, 257 nt
Filed under: uncultured bacterium
Lineage: Bacteria
Description: partial 16S ribosomal RNA
Rfam family: Bacterial small subunit ribosomal RNA
Source: RNAcentral
CGCACGGGUGAGUAACACGUAUCCAACCUGCCGUCUACUCUUGGACAGCCUUCUGAAAGGAAGAUUAAUACAAGAUGGCAUCAUGAGUCCGCAUGUUCACAUGAUUAAAGGUAUUCCGGUAGACGAUGGGGAUGCGUUCCAUUAGAUAGUAGGCGGGGUAACGGCCCACCUAGUCUUCGAUGGAUAGGGGUUCUGAGAGGAAGGUCCCCCACCAUUGGAACUGAGACACGGUCCAAACUCCUACGGGAGGCAGCAUG